Molecule: ribosomal RNA, 546 nt
Filed under: Bifidobacterium bifidum
Lineage: Bacteria; Bacillati; Actinomycetota; Actinomycetes; Bifidobacteriales; Bifidobacteriaceae
Description: bacterial SSU rRNA
Rfam family: Bacterial small subunit ribosomal RNA
Source: RNAcentral
UUCUCCUGGAAACGGGUGGUAAUGCCGGAUGUUCCACAUGAUCGCAUGUGAUUGUGGGAAAGAUUCUAUCGGCGUGGGAUGGGGUCGCGUCCUAUCAGCUUGUUGGUGAGGUAACGGCUCACCAAGGCUUCGACGGGUAGCCGGCCUGAGAGGGCGACCGGCCACAUUGGGACUGAGAUACGGCCCAGACUCCUACGGGAGGCAGCAGUGGGGAAUAUUGCACAAUGGGCGCAAGCCUGAUGCAGCGACGCCGCGUGAGGGAUGGAGGCCUUCGGGUUGUAAACCUCUUUUGUUUGGGAGCAAGCCUUCGGGUGAGUGUACCUUUCGAAUAAGCGCCGGCUAACUACGUGCCAGCAGCCGCGGUAAUACGUAGGGCGCAAGCGUUAUCCGGAUUUAUUGGGCGUAAAGGGCUCGUAGGCGGCUCGUCGCGUCCGGUGUGAAAGUCCAUCGCUUAACGGUGGAUCUGCGCCGGGUACGGGCGGGCUGGAGUGCGGUAGGGGAGACUGGAAUUCCCGGUGUAACGGUGGAAUGUGUAGAUAUCGGGAA